Long non-coding RNA from Lolium perenne, 2382 nucleotides. RefSeq lists it as uncharacterized. NCBI's taxonomy places the organism in Eukaryota, Viridiplantae, Streptophyta, Magnoliopsida, Poales, Poaceae. The record is from RefSeq and is a predicted model, not a curated record.
CCAACACAACACCCAUUCCAUUCCAUUCCGUUCUCUCCUCCUCGCCGCGCGCUCUUGCCGGCUGUGCAAACCCUAGCCGCUCGCUCUUGCCGGCGCUCCCCACCCAGCCUCGCCGGCGCCGCACCUCCUCCCUCCCGACCUCCCUCCCUCCCUCCUACAACGCCACUUGAUCCCAGCGCCACCAAUCGCGCCUUACACAGCCCUAGCUGCUCGCGUACGGCCGGAUCACCUGCCCCACAGCGACCAACGGGGCAUGGACAACAUGGCCGUCAACUUCCCGGCCGGCGCCCUCCUUCACCGGCCGCCUUCUACUGCGGCGACCCGCCACCGCACCGCCUGGGCUCCCACGUGCCCGCCCGCCCGCCGGAAGCAAGGCCUUUCCCGCCAAAAUGCUGCUGGAAUUCGAUUCCAAGCCCGGAACCAAACAAAAGCGUCUUCUGUAUGAGAAACAAAGAACUAUCAACUUGUCCUACCUACAGAUCUGCCUACUUGCUUGAACAUUGUCAAAUGCUGUAAUUUGCCGAUUUCAUGAUGCCCCCACAGUAAUCGCGGCCUAAAAAUUUGCAAGCACACUGCCUACGACUGUGACCGUUAAUGGGUCCAAAGCAAGCCGGUCUCAGUAACAGUGACAAGCGAGCACUCUUCUGCGAUGCGUCUCCCUGCUUUUCCCUAGGUGUCUACCCGUCCUGACCAAUUCCAUAAUGUUUGUGUGUGCUGAAGGAGGCCUAUCCCACUCCCACCCUUCCCCUGGACACCUCCAGUGCACAAGUUUGAGUUGCACGAAGGGAGGAUGGGGACGGCGUCAACAUGCAGUACCCCACCCCGGAGCUUGACGACGAGGUAGUUCAGUCCCAUCUCGAGCUCAAGGGAAACGUCGAUCACUAUGGGGCGCCCUGCAAAAGCAUCUGUGCUCAUUAAUAUGAAGAAACAAGCUGCUGCCAUCUGUGAUGCCACAAUGUUGACGAUCCGGAUCAACUAUGAGCUCUCCGUCAAGAGCAGUGCCACCUCACCAGUCCUGCCAGUCCAUACCACAACCAGGCUGACCCUUUCCGGCGAAGUGAUGAAGAGCGGCAAGUACACGCUUGGCUAUAAGACAGGCUUCAAGAUGUGCGUAGCUCCAAGGUGGUUUAGAAUCUGGACUCUACUGGAGGCGUGAUGAACUUUUCGUACUUGACCCUUUUCGUAAUUAGCACUGACCUCUAAUGUCUAGUCGAUAAUGGAAGGCUGAAACAUUUUCGUUUGCUGAUACUAUUUGUGUUUUUUGGUUGGUAUCGUGUAUCCCUAAAAAAAGGAGUUGUCUUGUUACUAGCUUUUCCAUUUCUCAAAUUUAUCCCAUCGUACCCACCUGGGUCUGUUUAGUUCUCGCGUCCUUUUCCACUUGUGAUAUUUUAUCCCAUUGAUACUAUAUGAUGAAGACUUAGGUUAUCUUGUCCCUGGAGCAUGCCCCUGCUACUUCUGUGUUUUCGUCUAGUUCUCCCUUGUUCUUCCUCUAGUUUGUCGUUCCGUUUGGCUAAGCUGUAUGCCGCAGCACUGUAAACCUUGUUGAACCUGAGGGCUUUAUUAAUUUAAAGUCGGGCACGUUGUUGCCUUUUUUUUAUAUUUAUAUACUAUAUGAUGAAUAUUUGUACGUAUUCUGAUGUGCUGUAUCAGUCUUUAAAUGAAAAUUUCUAGUUCUGGCAAUAGCUGCUAUUCUAUCUUGCUAUCUAAUUUACUCUUGUCUUUCUACUUACUGAAAUUAUAUGCGAUCUGUAUCUUUCAUGGAUGGUCGCCGAUUGGGACCAUCUGUCCAACGAGUUACACAGUGAUGCUCUGCUGAUGUUGCCGGAGAGGACAUCACUGUCCUGCUGCCGUGUACAACCAGGACCAUCUGUCCAAGAUUUAUCCCCGACCUCUGGUGUCUAGUGGAUAAUGGGAGCACCACCGGCAGGAAGGGGCUCUCAUGGCUGGUUGCUGAUGGGGAUCUCCAACCAUCUAUCUGAUGUGCUGCUGAUGUUGUCGGAGAGGUUGCUCGGCCAUGAAAGACCAGACUUGCUUGACACACUCUGGCAUCACCAUCAAGUAUGACGUCGAGAUGAUACAGCAAAGCAACAUGGAGCCAUUGUUCCAGAACUUAGAGAAGGGUUAAGAGUUGUCUAUGUGACUGAGCCAUAUAUGCGCAUGAAAAUUGAUGGGUGUUUACUGAAGCGUGUCUCCCUUGCGGCCUGCUGCCUCUUUCAUGCUCGUCUGUUUUGUCGAAUGGUGUCUUGUUAUUUUUGCCAAGAUCAUGUCAUGUAAUCAUUUGUAAUCUUCAAUUCUUAGCUAUUGCUUGUCUUUGGUUAAAUCUCAGGUGGAGCUGGAUCCUACAUCUAUAUAAUGUCAUAUAUGCUUGUCGUGCUGUAUGUA